Small nucleolar RNA from Erpetoichthys calabaricus (reedfish), 134 nucleotides. RefSeq annotates it as small nucleolar RNA SNORA17. The record is from RefSeq and is a predicted model, not a curated record. The transcript has a single exon. Lineage: Eukaryota; Metazoa; Chordata; Cladistia; Polypteriformes; Polypteridae.
ACUGCCCUCCAGAGGCGUUGCAGCGUGUCUUGUCUGUGCCACGUCUGUGUCAUGGAGGGCAGAGAGUAACGGGCUAUGUCUACGCUCAGCAUCCCUGUCUGAUGGGUGCUCAGAAUGAUUAAUAGCCUGACAAG